This 344-nucleotide unclassified non-coding RNA is filed under the name soil metagenome. Its description in RNAcentral is "partial contains 5.8S ribosomal RNA, internal transcribed spacer 2, and large subunit ribosomal RNA". The stretch from base 1 to 120 matches the Rfam family "5.8S ribosomal RNA", at positions 35 to 154 of the family's 154-position model. The record is from RNAcentral.
GAUGAAGAACUUAGCGAAAUGCGAUACGUAGUGUGAAUUGCAGAAUUCAGUGAAUCAUCGAAUCUUUGAACGCACAUUGCGCCCUUUGGUAUUCCAAAGGGCAUGCCUGUUCGAGCGUCAUUUGUACCCUCAAGCUUUGCUUGGUGUUGGGCGUUUUUGUCUUUGGCCCGCCAAAGACUCGCCUUAAAAUGAUUGGCAGCCGGCCUACUGGUUUCGCAGCGCAGCACAUUUUUGCGCUUGCAAUCAGCAAAAGAGGACGGCAAUCCAUCAAGACUCCUUCUCACGUUUGACCUCGGAUCAGGUAGGGAUACCCGCUGAACUUAAGCAUAUCAAUAAGCGGAGGA